AGCAGCCGCGGUAAUUCCAGCUCCAAUAGCGUAUAUUAAAGUUGCUGCAGUUAAAAAGCUCGUAGUUGAAUUUCGGGACCAAUAUGUCGGUCGUGCCUCGGUACGUACUGGCAUCGUUGGUUUCUCCCUUCUGACGAACCAUGAUGUCAUUUAUUUGGUGUCGUGGGGAAUCAGGACUGUUACUUUGAAAAAAUUAGAGUGUUUAAAGCAGGCUCACGCUUGAAUACAUUAGCAUGGAAUAAUGAAAUAGGACGUUUGAUUCUAUUUUGUUGGUUUCUAGGAUCGACGUAAUGAUUAAUAGGGAUAGUUGGGGGCAUUAGUAUUCAAUUGUCAGAGGUGAAAUUCUUGGAUUUAUUGAAGACUAACUACUGCGAAAGCAUUUGCCAAGGAUGUUUUCAUUAAUCAAGAACGAAAGUUAGGGGAUCGAAGACGAUCAGAUACCGUCGUAGU
This 450-nucleotide ribosomal RNA is filed under the name uncultured Glomus. Its description in RNAcentral is "SSU rRNA". It matches the Rfam family "Eukaryotic small subunit ribosomal RNA", at positions 569 to 1024 of the family's 1831-position model. RNAcentral also lists the same sequence under 1 other name. The record is from RNAcentral. Lineage: Eukaryota; Fungi; Glomeromycota; Glomeromycetes; Glomerales; Glomeraceae.